RNAcentral lists this ribosomal RNA (330 nucleotides) under Triticum aestivum (bread wheat). RNAcentral's name for it is "partial small subunit ribosomal RNA". Lineage: Eukaryota; Viridiplantae; Streptophyta; Magnoliopsida; Poales; Poaceae. The record is from RNAcentral.
AUGGUCUGUUUUCAUUUCCUCAGUGUUUCAUUUGCUUGUGACCACCUGCACAUGGAUGCUUUUGAUAUGAACUGUCUAUACGUCGAGAGAUAUUUUAAAAUUAUCUGUAGUCCUUUUCUGUGUGAUAUGAGCCCUUUAAAAUGCACGUGUCACUCUCAGCGCAAUAAUUCAUUCUUGCAAGCCAGUUUUCUGUCUAGCUGGUGGAGCUUUGAAGUUCCAUUCAGAAAUAUCUUCUUGACCGGUGCUGCACAUGUUCCAUUCAGAAAUAUCUUCUUGACUGGUGCUGCACAUUUUUGCUUUAGCACGAAUGAGUUAAGACAUGUUGUAUGA